Drosophila grimshawi is the source of this 156-nucleotide small nucleolar RNA. NCBI's taxonomy places the organism in Eukaryota, Metazoa, Arthropoda, Insecta, Diptera, Drosophilidae. The record is from Rfam.
AACAAUUACGUCCAUAACUAAAUCCGCAGCAGUGACACAUACGUUGUUGUGGUAUUCAAUUGGACUACAUCAAAGCCCAUGAUUUACUAUUCCUCUUAAGGGCAUUGGAUAAAAUAUGCACACCUUAAUAAAGUCAAAAAUCAACAAAACAACAAC